RNAcentral lists this unclassified non-coding RNA (379 nucleotides) under uncultured Gammaproteobacteria bacterium. Its description in RNAcentral is "contains 16S-23S intergenic spacer region". Lineage: Bacteria; Pseudomonadati; Pseudomonadota; Gammaproteobacteria. The record is from RNAcentral.
UCCGGCUUGUCACCGGCAGUCUCCUUAGAGUUCCCAGCUUUACCUGUUGGCAACUAAGGACAAGGGUUGCGCUCGUUACGGGACUUAACCCAACAUCUCACGACACGAGCUGACGACAGCCAUGCAGCACCUGUGUUACGGCUCCCUUUCGGGCACAUCCACCUCUCGGCAGACUUCCGUACAUGUCAAGGGUAGGUAAGGUUUUUCGCGUUGCAUCGAAUUAAUCCACAUCAUCCACCGCUUGUGCGGGUCCCCGUCAAUUCCUUUGAGUUUUAAUCUUGCGACCGUACUCCCCAGGCGGUCAACUUUACGCGUUAGCUACGUUACCAAGUCAAUGAAGACCCGACAACUAGUUGACAUCGUUUAGGGCGUGGACUAC